RNAcentral lists this ribosomal RNA (254 nucleotides) under uncultured prokaryote. Its description in RNAcentral is "partial 16S ribosomal RNA". It matches the Rfam family "Bacterial small subunit ribosomal RNA", at positions 521 to 774 of the family's 1533-position model. The record is from RNAcentral.
UAAUACGGAGGUGGCUAGCGUUGUUCGGAAUUACUGGGCGUAAAGGGCGCGUAGGCGGCUUUGCAAGUCGGAUGUGAAAGCCCCGGGCUCAACUCGGGAAUUGCAUCCGAAACUGCUUUGCUUGAGUCCUGGAGGGGGUAGUGGAAUUCCCAGUGUAGCGGUGAAAUGCGUAGAUAUUAGGAGGAACACCUGUGGCGAAGGCGGCUACCUGGACAGUGACUGACGCUGAGGCGCGAAAGCUAGGGGAGCAAACC